Molecule: ribosomal RNA, 467 nt
Filed under: uncultured bacterium
Lineage: Bacteria
Description: partial 16S ribosomal RNA
Rfam family: Bacterial small subunit ribosomal RNA
Source: RNAcentral
GAUGAACGCUGACAGAAUGCUUAACACAUGCAAGUCAACUUGAAUUUGGGUUUUUAACUUAGGUUUGGGUGGCGGACGGGUGAGUAACGCGUAAAGAACUUGCCUCUCAGCUAGGGACAACAUUUGGAAACGAAUGCUAAUACCUAUUAUUAUGAUAAUAGGGCAUCCUAUAAUUAUGAAAGCUAUAAGCGCUGUGAGAGAGCUUUGCGUCCCAUUAGCUAGUUGGAGAGGUAACGGCUCACCAAGGCGAUGAUGGGUAGCCGGCCUGAGAGGGUGAUCGGCCAAAAGGGGACUGAGACACGGCCCUUACUCCUACGGGAGGCAGCAGUGGGGAAUAUUGGACAAUGGACCGAGAGUCUGAUCCAGCAAUUCUGUGUGCACGAUGAAGUUUUUCGGAAUGUAAAGUGCUUUCAGUUGAGAAGAAACAAAUGACGGUACCAACAGAAGAAGUGACGGCUAAAUACGUG